CCUGAUGUUAGAGCGGGGCUUGAACCUGACGAUCGCCCUGUCAACCUUUAAUGGAACCGGUACGGAGAAAAGAUUAUGGUCUGGUCUUGGCGCGAAACUCAAGUCUACUCCAACCACCGGUCUGCUCCUUCUGGGGGAGGCGAUAACGUUCUGCGAUCACGUCACAAUGUUCGGUUUCUACCCGUUCAACAAGGACCGUCAGAACCGCACGAUUCCCUACCACUACUGGAGAGACUUCACAGCAUUCCCCUCCAAAACACCUCACAAAUUUGUAGCUGAGUACAAGCUACUUGGAGCUCUAAUCAAUGAUGGGAUUAUGAACCACACAGUGGACUGCAACGUCAUUGAAUAGACCACAGAACAGACGAGAACGAACGAACGAGACGGAAUCUUUUCAGACGAAAUGAAAGUUUCUUUAUUGUGGACCCCACUCAUAAGAUGGUCUUGGACAGCUGUGUGCCUCUUGGAGUGAUCUCCAAGCAGAUCGUAACAGCUGGUCAUAAUCUUGAGUAGCAGUCACUAUUUGCCACUGGAAUGAACUGCUGUAUCUAUGUAUUUGACCAGGGAUUUAGCUACUUUUACGAUACGUUGUUACCGGUUGUGAAGUGCUCACAUACUGUUUACAUAUACCCUAUACUGUUCCCAAUCUGCAAAAUAUGAAACUUCACGGAGAAUUUUCGCCUAUGACUACUUGUUUGUUUUGCGCCAAGUAUUAAAGGGGCAAUCAACUGUAACGUAAAAUGUCUCCCGUGCGCAAAUGAAUUUUCUUACAAAGGCCAACGGGAGAAGCUAAACCUGGGUGCGGGUGUAACGUCAUUAUUCAAUAAUUCAUCAUUGCAAAAUAAGCUACUAUGAACGAACGAAAAAGGAGAAAGGUUAUUUUUUAAACCUAUUAAAUUCAACAAGCAUAAAGCCUGUCCUGUCGGCCAACCCAAAAAGUGCCGAUAUGUCUAAAAAUAACCCCCGGAGAAAGCAUUUUGAUGUUUCAUACCCUUGUUUAUUUUACGCCGAGCAUAGGGACAGUCAUUGUAAAAUGUCGGACCCCGUGUAAAGAGGAAUGUUUUUACAAAGGUCAACGGGAGACGGUCGGUGUAGUUACAGGUCUAGGUGACAUUGACAUUGCCAAAAGCUAGACGAGCGGUGUGGCAGACGCCUUUUCUUGAAAGAUCUCUUAAAAAUAACGCUUAUCAGACUGAACUGGUCGGUCCACUACGCAUUAUGAUGAGGAUUUUAGAUCUUAAAAAGGUGUCUUUCGUCUUGUUGGUGGUUGCGACAGCAAUGGUGGUUGUGUGGUAUAGACAGCUCUCAACGUCUAUGUCGUCUAUGUGAGUACUGGAUCAUGAUCAGCUAGUAUGUUUCUUGCUUGACAACCUCUUGCUUAC
Long non-coding RNA from Branchiostoma belcheri (Belcher's lancelet), 1382 nucleotides. RefSeq lists it as uncharacterized. The record is from RefSeq and is a predicted model, not a curated record. The transcript is spliced from 3 exons. NCBI's taxonomy places the organism in Eukaryota, Metazoa, Chordata, Leptocardii, Amphioxiformes, Branchiostomatidae.